RNAcentral lists this ribosomal RNA (1263 nucleotides) under Triticum aestivum (bread wheat). RNAcentral's name for it is "partial small subunit ribosomal RNA". Lineage: Eukaryota; Viridiplantae; Streptophyta; Magnoliopsida; Poales; Poaceae. The record is from RNAcentral.
AUGCAGAUGGCGGCGACCACAACGGAGUCACAGGUGGCCGUGCCGCCUCACCACCCCCACGCGCACCCACAUCCGCACCCACCUCCGCAUCACCCGCACCCGCACCAUCACAUGCCGCAGCCGCGGUGGGUCGUCCUCCCCUACCCGCCGCCGUCCAUGGUGGCCGCCCCGCCCCCGCCGCCGCCGCAGUUCGCCAAGCACUACGCGCCGGGGCCGCCGCCUCCCCCUGCCGCGGCCGGGCGACGCACGCCGACCCCACCCGCGGCCGGAUCCGGCGGGAACGGCUGCGAGGAGAAUAAGACGAUCUGGGUCGGCGACCUCCAGUACUGGAUGGACGAGAACUACCUCCAUAACUGCUUCGGCCCCAGCGGCGAGGUGGUAACAAUAAAAGUUAUCCGCAAUAGGCAAACUGGACAAUCAGAGGGAUAUGGUUUUGUAGAGUUCUUUUCCCAUGCAUCAGCAGACAAAGCUCUUCAGAAUUUUACUGGUCAUGUGAUGCCCAACACUGAUCGAGCCUUUAAGUUGAACUGGGCAUCCUAUAGCAUGGGUGAAAAGCGAUCAGAAGUUGUCUCUGACCACUCAAUUUUUGUUGGUGAUUUAGCUGCUGAUGUUACUGAUGAAAUGUUGAUGGAGCUUUUUGCUAGCAAGUAUCGCUCCGUGAAAGGAGCUAAAGUUAUCAUUGAUGCAAACACAGGCCGUUCUAGGGGCUAUGGAUUUGUUAGAUUUGGAGAUGAUACCGACAAAGCUCAUGCAAUGACUGAAAUGAACGGUGUUUAUUGCUCUACUAGACCGAUUCGCGUAGGACCUGCAACGCCUAGAAGAACCUCUGGUGAUUCUGGUUCCUCAACCCCUGGCCAUUCAGAUGGUGAUUCAAAUAACAGAACGGUAUAUGUUGGUGGGCUCGACCCAAAUGUUAGUGAAGACGAGCUGAGGAAAUCAUUUGCCAAAUAUGGUGAUGUUGCCUCUGUCAAAAUUCCUCUAGGGAAGCAGUGUGGCUUUGUUCAAACUGAUGCAGAAGAAGCACUGCAAGGAUUGAAUGGGGCUGUCAUUGGAAAGCAGGCAGUUCGCCUUUCGUGGGGCCGCAGCCCAUCACACAAACAGUCUAGGGGCGAUUCCGGCAACAGGAGGAACAACAACAAUAUGUACUAUGGCACGCCGUUCUACGGCGGGUACGGCUACGCAUCCCCCGUCCCGCACCCGAACAUGUAUGCCCCUGCGUAUGGAGCCUACCCCUUCUACGGCAACCAGCAGCUGGUGAGCUAG